This 225-nucleotide ribosomal RNA is filed under the name uncultured Staphylococcus sp. RNAcentral describes it as "partial 16S ribosomal RNA". It matches the Rfam family "Bacterial small subunit ribosomal RNA", at positions 568 to 792 of the family's 1533-position model. The record is from RNAcentral. Lineage: Bacteria; Bacillati; Bacillota; Bacilli; Caryophanales; Staphylococcaceae.
CGCGUAGGCGGUUUCUUAAGUCUGAUGUGAAAGCCCACGGCUCAACCGUGGAGGGUCAUUGGAAACUGGGAAACUUGAGUGCAGAAGAGGAAAGUGGAAUUCCAUGUGUAGCGGUGAAAUGCGCAGAGAUAUGGAGGAACACCAGUGGCGAAGGCGACUUUCUGGUCUGUAACUGACGCUGAUGUGCGAAAGCGUGGGGAUCAAACAGGAUUAGAUACCCCCGUA